GCGGGUGUAGCUCAGUGGCAGAGCCCCAGCUUCCCAAGCUGGUUGCGGGAGUUCGAUCCUCCUCACCCGCUCCA
This 74-nucleotide transfer RNA is filed under the name Bacillota bacterium. RNAcentral's name for it is "tRNA-Gly". It matches the Rfam family "tRNA". From Rfam's summary of the family: Transfer RNA (tRNA) molecules are approximately 80 nucleotides in length. Their secondary structure includes four short double-helical elements and three loops (D, anti-codon, and T loops). RNAcentral also lists the same sequence under 2 other names. Lineage: Bacteria; Bacillati; Bacillota. The record is from RNAcentral.